This 402-nucleotide ribosomal RNA is filed under the name Staphylococcus aureus. RNAcentral's name for it is "bacterial SSU rRNA". It matches the Rfam family "Bacterial small subunit ribosomal RNA", at positions 196 to 586 of the family's 1533-position model. Lineage: Bacteria; Bacillati; Bacillota; Bacilli; Caryophanales; Staphylococcaceae. The record is from RNAcentral.
AAAAGUGAAAGACGGUCUUGCUGUCACUUAUAGAUGGAUCCGCGCUGCAUUAGCUAGUUGGUAAGGUAACGGCUUACCAAGGCAACGAUGCAUAGCCGACCUGAGAGGGUGAUCGGCCACACUGGAACUGAGACACGGUCCAGACUCCUACGGGAGGCAGCAGUAGGGAAUCUUCCGCAAUGGGCGAAAGCCUGACGGAGCAACGCCGCGUGAGUGAUGAAGGUCUUCGGAUCGUAAAACUCUGUUAUUAGGGAAGAACAUAUGUGUAAGUAACUGUGCACAUCUUGACGGUACCUAAUCAGAAAGCCACGGCUAACUACGUGCCAGCAGCCGCGGUAAUACGUAGGUGGCAAGCGUUAUCCGGAAUUAUUGGGCGUAAAGCGCGCGUAGGCGGUUUUUUAA